Populus nigra (black poplar) is the source of this 906-nucleotide long non-coding RNA. RefSeq lists it as uncharacterized. Lineage: Eukaryota; Viridiplantae; Streptophyta; Magnoliopsida; Malpighiales; Salicaceae. The transcript has 4 exons. The record is from RefSeq and is a predicted model, not a curated record.
UAGAGCAACUAAUGGAAGAUGGUCUUUGGAUUGAGGUAAGCAUAUAACCAGAAAUUGACUAUGUCUUAAAAUCCUUUCAACUUCAUUUUAUACCUUAGUUUAAUAAAUCUUUUUCAACAUAACAAUAUAAAAAGUAACAGAGUAGUUUGUUAAAAAAAUGAUAUUUUCUGUAAAAUGAACCAUUGAUUUUUAACAAGGACUGCUAAUGGGGGCCAUUUUAAUAUAAUUACAUGUAAAUUAUGCAAGAUGAUUUUAGAUACACAGCUAUGAUCUUGUCAACAGAACUCUCUUAUUUGAUGAGCUUGAAUUUAAAAAUUCCGUUGGAGGGUUGUUCGUCCUUCCAAGUAUCUGGAUCUUCGUGAACCACAUCCAGUGAGCUUGUCUUGAAUAUGUCGUUUGGGUGGGUAAAUGGGUCGUUGAGCGGUCUCAGGAGUUUGGCUCUGUUAGGAUAUUUGUUUUGCAGACUCAUUUAACUGGUAAGAUCAAAAUAAUAGUGAAAUUAUCUGUUGACUGUUUCCCUUCUCUAUGGCAGCGAUGAAAAUCAGCAAACUGACCAUUACCCAAAAUUUCCUUGAUGGAUGACAAAGGAAUCAAUGUGUUCCGAACCCACCAUUUCUGAUCUUAGAAAUAAGGGAGGUUUUCAGAUGCUUUGAGAAACUUGGCUCGCCCGUUUCACCCUCCAUUAGAUGCCAGAGGCCAAGAAGUUCUGCAAUCAGUGCUUAAGUGAUCGAAACAAGAUGAGAGAUUUGGAAUCGGUUUCAGUGAGGCUUGCUUGAUCUUCAAUAGACAUGGUAGAUGAAGAUUCAAUGCAGACUCUGUAACAAAGAUAAGGUAGAUGAAGAUUCAGUGCAGACUCUGUAACGAAGAUCAGGUCUCAGUAUUAUCAGUACAAGCUCUGCUCAUUGA